GGUCGGAUAGCUCAGUUGGUAGAGCAGAGGACUGAAAAUCCUCGUGUC
Corchorus capsularis is the source of this 48-nucleotide transfer RNA. It matches the Rfam family "tRNA", at positions 1 to 46 of the family's 71-position model. From Rfam's summary of the family: Transfer RNA (tRNA) molecules are approximately 80 nucleotides in length. Their secondary structure includes four short double-helical elements and three loops (D, anti-codon, and T loops). The record is from Rfam. NCBI's taxonomy places the organism in Eukaryota, Viridiplantae, Streptophyta, Magnoliopsida, Malvales, Malvaceae.